Salvelinus fontinalis (brook trout) is the source of this 3933-nucleotide long non-coding RNA. RefSeq lists it as uncharacterized. The record is from RefSeq and is a predicted model, not a curated record. NCBI's taxonomy places the organism in Eukaryota, Metazoa, Chordata, Actinopteri, Salmoniformes, Salmonidae. The transcript has 4 exons.
CAUAUAAGGGAAACACUGGCAUCCAUUUGUGAGAUUGGAAGGCACCCUUAUAGCUCGCUCUCGUUCCAGUGUAUUCAGUUUCUCCAUCCAUCACGCUACAUGUGCUACAGAGAGAAUAUUCCAUGGACCUCCAGAGCCUUCUGACCAACUACCUGCGAUCUCUCCAGAGCAGAGAAGCAAGCUCCUCUGGUGGCAAUGUUUUAUGCACUAUGUAAACUUCCUUCACUAUGGCUGUUUGUCUGUGUGAUGAAAUACACUCACCAGACAGUUUAUUAGGCACACCACCCCGUUCAGGUAAAUGGAUCGCUCCUACAGACAGUGAGUCAUGUGGCCAUGGCUUACUAUAUAAAGCAGGCAGACAGACAUUCAGUUACUGUUCGAUUGAACGUUAGAAUGGGCAAAACAUGGGACUUAAGUGACUUUGAGCAUGGUAUGAACGUCGGUGACAGGUUCGAGUGUCUCAGAAACGUCCGCCUCCCUGGGCUUGUCUAGGGUUUACUGAGAACGAUGUAAAAUACAAAAAAAAGGAGAAUGCGAAGAAUCGUGCAAGCUAACAGGCAGGCCACAAACAGACAUAACGGCACAGUACAACAGUGGUGUGCAGAACCGCAUCUCAGAACGCACAACUUAUUGAUCCUGCUGCUAUUGCAGCGUUCUGAGAUGCCGGGUUCCACUCCUAUCAGCUAAAAACAAGAAGAAGCGGCUCCAGAGGGUACGCAAUAUCCAACACUGGACAAUUGAGGAGCGGGAAAAACAUUGCCUGGAACAUGACAGCGAGUUCAGUUUACUUGAGUGGCCUGCACAGUCCCCAGACCUCAACGCAAUACAGCAUCUUUGGAAUGAGACGGAACAGGCUGUUCACGUCAGCAUGGACCAAUAUCCCUGUGGAAUGUUUCCAACAUAUUGUAGAAUACGCCGAAGAACUCAGGCUUUUCUGGAGGCAAAGCGAGGUACGACCCAGUGCUAGAUGGGUGUACAUAAUAAACUGUCCGGUGAGUAUAUACCAGAUGUGGCUAAAGAUUAGGACAAAUAGACAUGUGAAUAUAUACGGAACAAAAAUAUAAAACGCAAUAUGCAAGAUUUUACUGAGAUACAGUUCAUAGAAGGAAAUCAGUCAAUUAAUUUCGCGCUAUCCUAUGAAUUUCAUAUGACUGGGCAGGGGUGCAGCAAUGGGUGGGCAUAGGCCCAACCAUCAGCCAAUCCAAAUGAGUUUUCCCUACUAAAGUGCUUUAUUACAGACAGAAAUACUACUCAGCACCCCCUACCAGGCAAACCGUCGACCCCCAUAAUACCUUAGCAAAAAAACUAUUAAAGUCUUGUCGUCUCAUCAGUGGAAUGAUAACGGCAAGAAGAAGCAAUCAACAUUUUAAAAUUAAUUGGUAAAUAGUUUCUCAUUAUGUUGACCUCCCCACAUUAUAAAUGAGAAGAACUGUGAACUCUUACAUAACCUAGUAGCUAGAAAGGUAACUCAAAACACAUUUUCGCCAAGAAGCUGUUUAGCUGAUUAAACAAAUGUUAGCCAUGUGUUGGCAAACAUUUAUGUCCAAGUCAAGAAAGAUUACUGGUAGCCAGCGGCACUUGCCACACUGGUAGCCAAUUCGCGGGUGCUUUUUCAAAGCCUAUGUCAGACACUCCAGUGAGUGUAAUACCAAAGACAGUAGCAACUCUAAUUUGCUCAAUAUUAUUUGAGAAAUAAAAGCGGACUCCGUGCAGUACCUUCGUCGACCCAUGGCUGAAUACCCCUGGCCUAGGCAACUAGUCAUUGUCGUCACGCGAUGGACCAGGCAUUCAUCAGAAAGCGAUCCAAACGAAAUACGGAUAAGAAUCCCAUUAUGAUGGAAUGGAAAUAUAUUCACCUCCCAGCGUAAUUCGGAGGGCACAGCACACCCGUAUGGACGCCGCCAUCUUGAUGUUGUGAAAGGUCCUGAAUAGCAUAACAGAACCUGAGCCCUAGGACCAUACGUCACGGCAAACCGGGCAUGAUGACUCCGUGCUGUCCCCAGUCUACCUGGCCUUGCUGCUGUUACAGUUUCAACUGCUCUGCCUGCGGUUAUGGAACCCCUACCUGUCCCAGACCUGCUGCUUUCAACUCUUAAUGACUGACUUUUAUUCCUGAUUAUUAUUUGACCAUGCUUGUCAUUUAUGAACAUUUUGAAAAUCUUGGCUCUCUCUAAUUUUCUCCUUCUCUCUUUCUUUCUCUCUCUCGGAGGACCUGAGCCCUAGGACCAUACGUCAGGGCUGCCGGGCAUGAUGGCUCCUUGCUGUCCCCAGUCCACCUGGCCUUGCUGCUAUUCCAAUUUCAACUGUUCUGACUGCGGUUAUGGAAACGCCACCUGUCCCAGACCUGCUGUUUUCAACUCUUAAUGAUCGGCUAUGAAAAGCCAACUGAAAAUUAUUCAUGAUUAUUAUUUGACCAUGCUUGUCACUUAUGAACAUUUUGAACAUCUUGGCAUAGUUCUGUUAUAAUCUCCACCCGGCACAGCCAGAAGAGGACUGGCCACCCCUCAUAGCCUGGUUCCUCUCUAGGUUUCUUCCUAGGUUUUGGCCUUUCUAGGGAGUUUUUCCUAGCCACCGUGCUUCUACACCUGCAUUGCUUGCUGUUUGGGGUUUUAGGCUGGGUUUCUGUACAGCACUUCGAGAUAUUAGCUGAUGUACGAAGGGAUAUAUAAAAUAAACUUGAUUGAUUGAUUGAUUGUAUAGCUCCAUCUAUUACAUUUGGAGGGGGAGUCAACACUCAACAUGUAUCUAACUUUAACAUGGAUCAAAUGUAUUUAUUUUAAUAAAUUAGGGCACAUAGAAAUUAACAGUUGAUUGUAGUUCAAUCCAAUUUUCAAUGCUAUUUGUGAUACAAUUUGCUGAUUUCCCAUGGCCCCCCAUGACUGACUUCUACAGAUGCACAAUCGAGAGCAUCCUGUCGGGCUGUAUCACCGCCUGGUACGGCAACUGCUCCGCCCACAACCGUAAGGCUCUCCAGAGGGUAGUGAGGUCUGCACAACGCAUCCCCGGGGGCAAACUACCUGCCCUCCAGGACACCUACACCACCCAAUGUCACAGGAAGGCCAUAAAGAUCAUCAAGGACAACAACCACCCAAGCCACUGCCUGUUCACCCCGCUAUCAUCUAGAAGGCGAGGUCAGUACAGGUGCAUCAAAGCAGGGACCGAGAGACUGAAAAACAGCUUCUAUCUCAAGGCCAUCAGACUGUUAAACAGCCACCACUAACAUUUAGCGGCCGCUGCCAACAUACUGACUCAACUCCAGCCACUUUAAUAAUGGAAAUUAUGUAAAAAUGUACCACUAGCCACUUUAAACAAUGUCACUUAAUAUAAUGUUUACAUACCCUACAUUACUCAUCUCAUAUGUAUAUGUAUAUACUGUACUCUAUACCAUCUACUGCAUCUUGCCUAUGCCGUUCUGUACCAUCACUCAUUCAUAUAUCUUUAUGUACAUAUUCUUUAUCCCUUUACACUUGUGUGUAUAAGGUAGUAGUUGUGGAAUUGUUAGGUUAGAUUACUUGUUGUUAUUACUGCAUUGUCGGAACUAGAAGCACAAGCAUUUCGCUACACUCGCAUUAACAUCUGCUAACCAUGUGUAUGUGACAAAUCAAAUUUGAUUUGAUUUGACUGGUUUUUGGUCCCCCAUUGGCACCCCCUCAGAAAAUUCCUAGAACCGCCCCUGCCCGUAAGUCAAAACGGGGAGACAGUUUUAGGCCUAUUAACUGCAUUUCAAAGUAGUGUGUACAGUUUCAGCAUAAACAACAUGCAUAAACAACAAGUAAAUAAGAUAUGUUAUUACAACAGAGCACGCACUCAUAGACACACUGAGUGUUGAUGUAUAUAGCAGAGCAGAAAAUGCCAUAGAGAAGCCAGAUUUAGACCAAAUAAUUUAACAGUUCCAUUUCACAUCACGCUAUACAUAAAAAUAAUUUAUCAUAA